Molecule: ribosomal RNA, 253 nt
Filed under: uncultured bacterium
Lineage: Bacteria
Description: partial 16S ribosomal RNA
Rfam family: Bacterial small subunit ribosomal RNA
Source: RNAcentral
UACGAAGGGGGCUAGCGUUGUUCGGAAUUACUGGGCGUAAAGCGCGCGUAGGCGGCUUUGCAAGUCGGGUGUGAAAUCCCCAGGCUUAACCUGGGAACUGCAUUCGAGACUGCAUUGCUAGAGUAUGGGAGAGGGAAGUGGAAUUUCAGGUGUAGCGGUGAAAUGCGUAGAGAUCGGGAGGAACAUCUGUGGCGAAGGCGGCCAUCUGGACCAGCACUGACACUGAGGCACGAAAGCGUGGGGAGCAAACAGG